GACGAACGCUGGCGGCGUGCUUAACACAUGCAAGUCGAGCGGUAAGGCCCUUUCGGGGGUACGACGAGCGGCGAACGGGUGAGUAACACGUGGGUGACCUGCCCUCAGCUCUGGGAGUAAGCCUGGGAAACGUAGGGUCUAAUACCGGAUAUGACUCCAUGACGCAUGUUGGUGGGGUGGAAAGCCUUGUGCGGCUGAGGAUGGGCCCGCGGCCUAUCAGCUUGUUGGUGGGGUGANGGCCUACCAAGGCGACGACGGGUAGCCGGCCUGAGAGGGCGACCGGCCACACUGGGACUGAGACACGGCCCAGACUCCUACGGGAGGCAGCAGUGGGGAAUCUUGCGCAAUGGGCGAAAGCCUGACGCAGCGACGCCGCGUGAGGGUGAC
Molecule: ribosomal RNA, 387 nt
Filed under: uncultured bacterium
Lineage: Bacteria
Description: bacterial SSU rRNA
Rfam family: Bacterial small subunit ribosomal RNA
Source: RNAcentral